GGAAUAUUCCCAAAUGGCGGCAAGCUGGAUGCAGCCAUGCCGCGUUUUGAAGAAGGCUUUCGGGUUGUAAAGUACUUUCAGCAGUGAGGAAGGUGGGUAUGUUAAUAGCAUAUUCAUUUGACGUUAGCUGCAGAAGAAGCACCGGCUAAUUCCGUGCCAGCAGCCGCGGUAAUACGGAGGGUGCGAGCGUUAAUCGGAAUUACUGGGCGUAAAGCGCAUGCAGGUGGUUUGUUAAGUCAGAUGUGAAAGCCCGGGGCUCAACCUCGGAAUUGCAUUUGAAACUGGCAAACUAGAGUACUGUAGAGGGGGGUAGAAUUUCAGGUGUAGCGGUGAAAUGCGUAGAGAUCUGAAGGAAUACCGGUGGCGAAGGCGGCCCCCUGGACAGAUACUGACACUCAGAUGCGAAAGCGUGGGGAGCAAACAGGAUUAGAUACCCUGGUAGUCCACGCCGUAAACGAUGUCUACUUGGAGGUUGUGGCCUUGAGCCGUGGCUUUCGGAGCUAACGCGUUAAGUAGACCGCCUGGGGAGUACGGUCGCAAGAUUAAAACUCAAAUGAAUUGACGGGGGCCCGCACAAGCGGUGGAGCAUGUGGUUUAAUUCGAUGCAACGCGAAGAACCUUACCUACUCUUGACAUCUACAGAAGCCAGCGGAGACGCAGGUGUGCCUUCGGGAACUGUAAGACAGGUGCUGCAUGGCUGUCGUCAGCUCGUGUUGUGAAAUGUUGGGUUAAGUCCCGCAACGAGCGCAACCCUUAUCCUUGUUUGCCAGCACUUCGGGUGGGAACUCCAGGGAGACUGCCGGUGAUAAACCGGAGGAAGGUGGGGACGACGUCAAGUCAUCAUGGCCCUUACGAGUAGGGCUACACACGUGCUACAAUGGCGCAUACAGAGGGCGGCCAACUUGCGAAAGUGAGCGAAUCCCAAAAAGUGCGUCGUAGUCCGGAUUGGAGUCUGCAACUCGACUCCAUGAAGUCGGAAUCGCUAGUAAUCGUGGAUCAGAAUGCCACGGUGAAUACGUUCCCGGGCCUUGUACACACCGCCCGUCACACCAUGGGAGUGGGCUGCAAAAGAAGUGGGUAGUUUAACCUUCGGGAGGACGCUCACCACUUUGUGGUUCAUGACUGGGGUGAAGUCGUAACAAGGUAACCG
RNAcentral lists this ribosomal RNA (1150 nucleotides) under uncultured bacterium. RNAcentral describes it as "bacterial SSU rRNA". It matches the Rfam family "Bacterial small subunit ribosomal RNA", at positions 358 to 1502 of the family's 1533-position model. The record is from RNAcentral.